GACGAACCCAAGGGUUGCCACCACUCAGAGGAGCACAGCAGGAUUAGCCCCACACAGGUGAAAAGAAAGUGAAUGGUUCUUUCUGUGAGCAGAUUUUCUUUCUAAAACAAUGCCUCCUGCAGCUAAAGGAGGAAAAGAGGAAACCAACAAUACCAACAGCUAGGGGAAGAGAUAGGUGAGGUCUCUGUUUUCUGAUGAGGAAGCUAAGCCUUGGAAGCCAGGCUUCAAACCUAGCGGGGGCAUAAUGAUCUUUCCAGUGUACAUUUUUGCUUUUGCAAAUUAGAAGAGUUAUUAAGUUUAUGAGUCAGUAUCAUGAAGAUCAAGAUGAUAUCUAAAAGGUUACUGGCAUGCAGUUUCCAUAAUAUUGCUAGAAGACAAGACUGAAUCAUAGCCUCCCAGGAACAGAAGAAACCUCAAAAGUUAUCGAGGCUGUUGUUUGGCAGCAACUGGAGCUACGUCCAAGCUGAUACUUCUAAAGCUGCUGUGCUCAUAACUAGGGAAGCAGAAGAGGAGAUCGUCCUCCUGCCCUGGCAACCAGGGAUGAUGGCACGUGCCUAGGCUCAAGCAUGGCAAUUCUCCCAUCCAGAACUUGGAAUCUUCGGGGUUCUCACUUCACAGAGCUGAUAGUGUGAGAUCUCAAAGAAACUGCCAUGAGAGUCCUUUUCAUAUUAAGUUAACCAGACUUGAUUUCUGUAGCUUGCAAUCAAGAAUCUUAACUGAUGCCAAAAGAGUGAGGAAUUUUGAAAAACACUGACAUGCCAUUUCAGAUUAAACAAACAGACAUGCAAACAAGCACAGAAGAACUGUGAGCACAGUUCCAAAGCAAUGAGACAGAUUUUCACAAAUGCGUAUUCUUUCUGCAGUGAGGACUACAGCAAAUCUCAGAGGUCACAAUGUUGGGAGAGCUCUUAAGAGGUCAUGUACUUUAGGCCCGGCGUGACGGCUCAUGCCUAUAAUCCCAGCACUUUUGGAGGCCGAGGUGGGCUGAUCAUUUGAGUCCAGGUGUUCAAGACCAGCCUGGCCAACACGGCAAAACCCCAUCUCUACAAAAUAUACAAAAAUUAGCCAGGCAUGGUGGCAGGUGCCCUGUAAUCCCAGCUACUCAGGAGGCUGAGGCACAAGAAUCGCCUGAACCCGGGAGGCGGAGGUUGCAGCGAGAUGAGAUCCUGCCACUGCACUCCAGCCUAGGUGACAGAGCCAGACUCUGUCUCAAAAAAAAAAAAAAAAAAAAAAAUUGGUCAUGUACUUCAGUCUUCGGUGCAAAGAUUCUUCAGACACCUAGCAUUUUAGAGUGUGAAAAGAAACAAGAAAUCGUCAGGAAACAAAUAAACAAAAAACCUUCAUUUGCUGAUAAGAAAACCUCUGCCGAGAACAAAGUUCUUUUCCCGAUCAUAUCAGGAGUAAUAAAGGAUCAGAAAGCAGGCAUUUAAACUUGCAGUCGAGGGACCCUUUUAUCAUAGCUGGCAGCUUCUUGGAAUUCAGUUCAAGAGGCUUUCUCAUGCCUUGGUUGUAGGAAGACCAGACUCUCCCUUCACAAGGUAUAAAAGUUUUAUCCUGUAUCAAUGCCACAGUGGUCUGAGGCUGUCUGGCUCAUUUAUUGAGACUAAUGUAUUGAUGAAGCCAAGGUCAUACACUUGAGUCAGGAAAGAGCUGUCCAUUUGGCUCAGGAUGCAUGGUAGAGUGUGGAGAUGUUGUCCAGCCAUGCUGUAAAAAUGGGACCCUGCCAGGGGUUGGGAGGGGCUGGGGAGGAGUAUGUGAAUAUCUCCGUAAAUCCAUUACUGCUGCUCAGAACACAGGGCAGAAGCACGCUCCCAGCGGGGCUGAGAUGAAGGCAAUGGCGUCAGCUUUAUGUAGAACAGCUGUAAUUUAGACUCUGCUUUAGAAAACAAAGUGUAUUUGGCCCCAAACAGUGAAGAAUUCUAUUUUGCUAAACAAAACAGCCUUGCCGUUUAGGAAACAUCCUUUCUCUUAGGGUAAAUGCCAGAUGCUUCUUCAC
RNAcentral lists this long non-coding RNA (1996 nucleotides) under Homo sapiens (human). RNAcentral describes it as "HSALNT0132674". Lineage: Eukaryota; Metazoa; Chordata; Mammalia; Primates; Hominidae. The record is from RNAcentral.